UUACUAAUAGGUUAAUUGUAAACUGAUAAAUUGUGGGUUUAUAGAUUGCGUUUGCAUUAGUAAA
Molecule: transfer RNA, 64 nt
Filed under: Duthiersia expansa
Lineage: Eukaryota; Metazoa; Platyhelminthes; Cestoda; Diphyllobothriidea; Diphyllobothriidae
Description: tRNA-His
Source: RNAcentral